This 363-nucleotide ribosomal RNA is filed under the name uncultured bacterium. Its description in RNAcentral is "bacterial SSU rRNA". It matches the Rfam family "Bacterial small subunit ribosomal RNA", at positions 29 to 377 of the family's 1533-position model. The record is from RNAcentral.
AACGAACGCUGGCGGCGGGGCUUAGGCAUGCAAGUCGAGCGAGAAAGCCGCAAGGUGAGUACAGCGGCGUAAGGGUGAGUAAUAGGUAGUCAACGUACCCACGAGACGCGAAUAAUUUUCCGAAAGGGAUUGUAAUGCGCGAUGAGACCACGCUCUUUUCGGAGAGAGGGGUCAAAGGUCAGGGAUCCUUCGGGACCUGGCGCUCAUGGAGCGGACGACCUCCGAUUAGCUAGANGGGCGGGGUAACGGCCCACCAUGGCUGUGAUCGGUAGCCGGCCUGAGAGGGUGUUCGGCCACACUGGGACUGAGACACUGCCCAGACUCCUACGGGAGGCUGCAGUCGCGAAUCAUUCACAAUGGGCG